This 601-nucleotide unclassified non-coding RNA is filed under the name Hevea brasiliensis (rubber tree). The record is from RNAcentral. Lineage: Eukaryota; Viridiplantae; Streptophyta; Magnoliopsida; Malpighiales; Euphorbiaceae.
GUUCUAAGUUCUGUGAAGCUGUUCCGCACUGGAAAACUCGAAUUUAAUUUAUAGUAGCAAGAUCCAAACAGCACUGACAACUAAGUGAAAGCACACAAACAACAUACCACAGCAGCAAAGGCAAAUGCAAGAGGGAAAGCAAAAGCAAACAUCAUGACCAUUCCAAAUUGCAAUGUUAACCGCAAAAAGUCUCCACACAGUUUUUUUUCCUGUUUUUUUCCUGAUUAGCAGAAGAAUGGUUUGAAACUGAUCAAAAAUUUUCUUCGGCAGUACAGGCUACAGUCAAAAGUUUUCACGUAGAUUUGAAAUCUAUAGAUCUCUUAUCAUUUCAAGUUUGGGUUGGCUACAAUAAUCUACCUCAACAAAUCAAAUUAGAAGAGAGCCUUAUGUCAACCAUAACACAUUCCUAAUUGGGGUCCCCCAUACCCGCCCUUUUGCUGUCCUUCCCGAGAAGUGCUUAUUUUAAUUGCCAUGGAGCAAGAUGAAUUGUUGUAAAUAUCAUAGGCUUGAAAUGUCUCCAUAUAUCGUUUGGUAUCGCAAGUUUAAUAGCAUAUUACCAUCAAAAAGACAAUCUUCCAGUUCUUCACCAAUACUUGCAGAA